AACGCGUGGGAAUCUACCUUUUGGUACGGAAUAGCUCCGGGAAACUGGAAUUAAUACCGUAUGUGUCCUUCGGGAGAAAGAUUUAUCGCCAAGAGAUGAGCCCGCGUUUGAUUAGGUAGUUGGUGGGGUAAUGGCCUACCAAGCCGACGAUCAAUAGCUGGUCUGAGAGGAUGGUCAGCCACAUUGGGACUGAGACACGGCCCAAACUCCUACGGGAGGCAGCAGUGGGGAAUAUUGGACAAUGGGCGCAGGCCUGAUCCAGCCAUGCCGCGUGAGUGAUGAAGGCCCUAGGGUUGUAAAGCUCUUUCGCCGGUGAAGAUAAUGACUGUAGCCGGUAAGGAAGCCCCGGCUAACUCCGUGCCAGCAGCCGCGGUAAUACGGAGGGAGCUAGCGUUGUUCGGAAUUACUGGGCGUAAAGCGCGCGUAGGCGGUUACUCAAGUCAGAGGUGAAAGCCCGGAGCUCAACUCCGGAACUGCCCUUGAAACUAGGUGACUAGAAUCUUGGAGAGGCGAGUGGAAUCCCGAGUGCAGAGGUGAAAUUCGUAGAUAUUCGGAAGAACACCAGUG
Molecule: ribosomal RNA, 567 nt
Filed under: uncultured bacterium
Lineage: Bacteria
Description: bacterial SSU rRNA
Rfam family: Bacterial small subunit ribosomal RNA
Source: RNAcentral